Molecule: ribosomal RNA, 415 nt
Filed under: Boana sp. Rondonia ABGD cluster 104
Lineage: Eukaryota; Metazoa; Chordata; Amphibia; Anura; Hylidae
Description: partial large subunit ribosomal RNA
Rfam family: Bacterial large subunit ribosomal RNA
Source: RNAcentral
CUUGAAACAAUAUAAGAGGUCCAGCCUGCCCAGUGAACUUAUUCAACGGCCGCGGUAUCCUAACCGUGCGAAGGUAGCGUAAUCACUUGUUCUUUAAAUGAGGACUAGUAUGAAUGGCACCACGAGGGUUAUACUGUCUCCUUUUUUAAAUCAGUGAAACUAAUCUCCCCGUGAAGAAGCGAGGAUUUAUUUAUAAGACGAGAAGACCCUAUGGAGCUUUAAACGACCAACACCUGCUACACACCAUAAUAAACCUAACAAGAAGUAUAGCACUAUGAUUCAUAGUUUUCGAUUGGGGUGAUCACGGAGCAAAAACUAACCUCCAUGCCGAAUGGGUUUACACCCUUAGCAAAAAGCCACAACUUUAUGCACUAAAAUAUUAACGUACUUUGACCCAAUAUUUUGAUCAACGAAC